RNAcentral lists this unclassified non-coding RNA (1313 nucleotides) under Hevea brasiliensis (rubber tree). The record is from RNAcentral. Lineage: Eukaryota; Viridiplantae; Streptophyta; Magnoliopsida; Malpighiales; Euphorbiaceae.
GCAUGUGAAAGAUACUUGUUUCAAGUUAAAUGGUUAUCCGGAUUGGUGUAAAGGUAGAAGGAAUUCACAGGGCACUAAUUCUGCUAGCAUUACUUCUGUUGGUUCUCAACAACAGCAGCAACUGAAGUCUACUCAUCAAAAUGCACAUAAUAGAUUUGUAACAGCUUAUGUGGCAGAAACUCCUCUUGAAAGGGAAGUAUCAGCUAGUACUGAUAGGAUUGAGGAAAUAAGUGCCUUGCUGGGUAACUUACAGCAGGAAGUGCAGCACUCGUUGAAAGGAAAAAGCUCUGUUGUAGCAUCUGCUGUUUCUCAACAACGAGUGCUGCACUUUCUGCUCUUUCUAGUGUUAAUUGUGUUUAUACAUAUUUGGAUCAUGUCUGGAUCAUUGACACAGGGGGCCACUGAUCACAUGACCCCCAAUUCUACAUUUUUUUCAAAAUUUACUAAUGUUGUUGUUCCAAUUUCAGUACAUUUACCAAAUGGUAGUUGCUCUCAAGUAACUAAAACUGGAAAUGUUUGUCUUUCACCUUCCCUGACCUUGUUUGAUGCCUUAUUUGUUCCUGAUUUUCAUUAUAACUUUUUUUCUGUUCCCAAAUUGCUUUCUACAGUUCAAAUGUCUAUCUUCUUCCCUGCUGCUUAUUGUUUCUUUCAGGACCUGAGGACUGAUACAAUAGUGGCACUGGGAAAAGUGGUUCAAGGCCUCUAUACAUUGGAUCAUUCCAGUUUUUUGCCUUCAAUGAUAGCUAAAUGUUUGUCUGAAACUUCAAUUGUACCUUCCGUUGCCUCUCAAAAUGGCUCUAAUACAAAUUUGCAUUCUUGUCAACUCACUCAAUUAGAUUACUCCAUGUUACAUGCUAGAUUGGGACAUGCUUCUAUUAAUAAAAUUAGACACCUUACUGGUUUUCGUUUUCUAAUUCAGAUAUUUUAAUUUUUCCUUUAGCUAAGCUUCAUAGAUUGCCAUUUGUUGACAGUAAAUCUCAUUCUUCUUUUCCUUUUGCCUUAUUGCACAUUGAUGUGUGGAGACCCUAUAGGGUUCAAUCUGUCACAGGGGCUCAUUAUUUUUUAACUAUAAUUGAUGAUUGUAGUCGAGCCACUUGGACUUAUAUGAUGCAGUCCAAGAGUCAAACAUUUCACACAUUGAGACAAUUUAUUCAAUAUGUAGCAACUCAAUUUCAUACCUCUAUUCUAGUCAUAAGAAAUGACAAUGGUAGUGAAUUUGUUAACAAGUCUUGCAAAGAUUUUUUUUGCCAUGAAAGGUAUUGUUCAUCAGUUAACCUGUCCAUAUACUCCACAGCAAAAUGAAAUAGUGGAGA